RNAcentral lists this ribosomal RNA (247 nucleotides) under uncultured bacterium. RNAcentral describes it as "partial 16S rRNA". It matches the Rfam family "Bacterial small subunit ribosomal RNA", at positions 505 to 751 of the family's 1533-position model. The record is from RNAcentral.
GUGCCAGCAGCCGCGGUAAUACGAAGGGGGCUAGCGUUGUUCGGAAUCACUGGGCGUAAAGCGCACGUAGGCGGAUUGUUAAGUCAGGGGUGAAAUCCCGAGGCUCAACCUCGGAACUGCCUUUGAUACUGGCGAUCUAGAGUCCGGGAGAGGUGAGUGGAACUGCGAGUGUAGAGGUGAAAUUCGUAGAUAUUCUCAGGAACACCAGUGGCGAAGGCGGCGCCAUGGCCCGGAACUGACGCUGAGG